Molecule: ribosomal RNA, 556 nt
Filed under: uncultured archaeon
Lineage: Archaea
Description: bacterial SSU rRNA
Rfam family: Archaeal small subunit ribosomal RNA
Source: RNAcentral
CUGACUGUAUCUGAUUGGUACUAAGCCAUGCGAGUCGUUGUACAAUACAAGGCGGACUGCUCAGUAACACGUAGUUAACUUAACCUAUGGAUGGGGAUAACCUCGGGAAACUGAGAAUAAUACCCAAUGGACCACAGUGCCUGGAAUGGCCUGUGGUUGAAAUGAUUUAUCGCCGUAGGAUAGGACUGCGGCCUAUCAGCUUGUUGGUGAGGUAAUGGCCCACCAAGGCUAUAACAGGUACGGGCUCUGAGAGGAGGGGCCCGGAGAUGGGUACUGAGACACGGACCCAGGCCCUAUGGGGCGCAGCAGGCGAGAAACCUUUGCAAUGUGCGAAAGCACGACAAGGUUAAUCCGUGUGUCUCCUGCUAAAGGAGUCUUUUGUCAGUUGUAGAAUCACUGGUGAAUAAGGGGUGGGCAAGUUCUGGUGUCAGCCGCCGCGGUAAAACCAGCACCUCGAGUGGUCAGGAGGUUUAUAUGGGCCUAAAGCAUCCGUAGCCGGUUGCAUAAGUUACCGGUUAAUCUAUGCGCUUAACGUAUAAGCCCGCGAAAUACUGUG